RNAcentral lists this ribosomal RNA (332 nucleotides) under Etisus splendidus. RNAcentral's name for it is "partial 12S ribosomal RNA". Lineage: Eukaryota; Metazoa; Arthropoda; Malacostraca; Decapoda; Xanthidae. The record is from RNAcentral.
UAGAUACCCUAUUAUACUAACAGAAACCUAAAUUAUUAAUAGAUAUAUUCUUUAAACUUGAAGAAUUUGGCGGUGGUUUAGUCUUGUUAGAGGAACCUGUUUUUGAAUCGAUACACCACGCAGAAUCUUGCUCAUGUUAGUUAGUUUGUAUACCGUCAUUAUCAGAUAAUUUUGAAAGAAUAAAUUGUUAAAAUUUAGAGGAUAAGGUUAAAUUAAAUUAGAUCAAGGUGCAGCUUAUAAAUGAGUUAAAAUGGGUUACAAUAAAUUUUAUUUAUUAUGAAAUAGUUAGGAGAAAAAGUACUAGGAAGGUGGAUUUAAUUGUAAAGUAAGUU